AGCGAACGCUGGCGGCAGGCCUAACACAUGCAAGUCGAACGGAUCCUUCGGGAUUAGUGGCGGACGGGUGAGUAACACGUGGGAACGUGCCCUUUGGUUCGGAACAACCCAGGGAAACUUGAGCUAAUACCGGUUGUGCCCUUCGGGGGAAAGAUUUAUCGCCAUUGGAGCGGCCCGCGUCUGAUUAGCUAGUUGGUGAGGUAACGGCCCACCAAGGCGACGAUCAGUAGCUGGUCUGAGAGGAUGAUCAGCCACACUGGGACUGAGACACGGCCCAGACUCCUCCGGGCGGCCGCCGUGGGGCCUCUUGCGCGCUGGGCGACAGCCUGACGCAGCCAUGCCGCGUGAAUGAUGAAGGUCUUAGGAUUGUAAAAUUCUUUCAGCGGGGCCGAUAAUGACGGUACCCGCCGAAGCAGCUCCGGCUCCCUUCGUG
This 433-nucleotide ribosomal RNA is filed under the name uncultured bacterium. Its description in RNAcentral is "partial 16S ribosomal RNA". It matches the Rfam family "Bacterial small subunit ribosomal RNA", at positions 29 to 507 of the family's 1533-position model. The record is from RNAcentral.